UUAAGCGACUAAGCGUACACGGUGGAUGCCCUGGCAGUCAGAGGCGAUGAAGGACGUGCUAAUCUGCGAUAAGCGUCGGUAAGGUGAUAUGAACCGUUAUAACCGGCGAUUUCCGAAUGGGGAAACCCAGUGUGUUUCGACACACUAUCAUUAACUGAAUCCAUAGGUUAAUGAGGCGAACCGGGGGAACUGAAACAUCUAAGUACCCCGAGGAAAAGAAAUCAACCGAGAUUCCCCCAGUAGCGGCGAGCGAACGGGGAGCAGCCCAGAGCCUGAAUCAGUGUGUGUGUUAGUGGAAGCGUCUGGAAAGGCGCGCGAUACAGGGUGACAGCCCCGUACACAAAAAUGCACAUGCUGUGAGCUCGAUGAGUAGGGCGGGACACGUGGUAUCCUGUCUGAAUAUGGGGGGACCAUCCUCCAAGGCUAAAUACUCCUGACUGACCGAUAGUGAACCAGUACCGUGAGGGAAAGGCGAAAAGAACCCCGGCGAGGGGAGUGAAAAAGAACCUGAAACCGUGUACGUACAAGCAGUGGGAGCACGCUUAGGCGUGUGACUGCGUACCUUUUGUAUAAUGGGUCAGCGACUUAUAUUCUGUAGCAAGGUUAACCGAAUAGGGGAGCCGAAGGGAAACCGAGUCUUAACUGGGCGUUAAGUUGCAGGGUAUAGACCCGAAACCCGGUGAUCUAGCCAUGGGCAGGUUGAAGGUUGGGUAACACUAACUGGAGGACCGAACCGACUAAUGUUGAAAAAUUAGCGGAUGACUUGUGGCUGGGGGUGAAAGGCCAAUCAAACCGGGAGAUAGCUGGUUCUCCCCGAAAGCUAUUUAGGUAGCGCCUCGUGAAUUCAUCUCCGGGGGUAGAGCACUGUUUCGGCAAGGGGGUCAUCCCGACUUACCAACCCGAUGCAAACUGCGAAUACCGGAGAAUGUUAUCACGGGAGACACACGGCGGGUGCUAACGUCCGUCGUGAAGAGGGAAACAACCCAGACCGCCAGCUAAGGUCCCAAAGUCAUGGUUAAGUGGGAAACGAUGUGGGAAGGCCCAGACAGCCAGGAUGUUGGCUUAGAAGCAGCCAUCAUUUAAAGAAAGCGUAAUAGCUCACUGGUCGAGUCGGCCUGCGCGGAAGAUGUAACGGGGCUAAACCAUGCACCGAAGCUGCGGCAGCGACGCUUAUGCGUUGUUGGGUAGGGGAGCGUUCUGUAAGCCUGCGAAGGUGUGCUGUGAGGCAUGCUGGAGGUAUCAGAAGUGCGAAUGCUGACAUAAGUAACGAUAAAGCGGGUGAAAAGCCCGCUCGCCGGAAGACCAAGGGUUCCUGUCCAACGUUAAUCGGGGCAGGGUGAGUCGACCCCUAAGGCGAGGCCGAAAGGCGUAGUCGAUGGGAAACAGGUUAAUAUUCCUGUACUUGGUGUUACUGCGAAGGGGGGACGGAGAAGGCUAUGUUGGCCGGGCGACGGUUGUCCCGGUUUAAGCGUGUAGGCUGGUUUUCCAGGCAAAUCCGGAAAAUCAAGGCUGAGGCGUGAUGACGAGGCACUACGGUGCUGAAGCAACAAAUGCCCUGCUUCCAGGAAAAGCCUCUAAGCAUCAGGUAACAUCAAAUCGUACCCCAAACCGACACAGGUGGUCAGGUAGAGAAUACCAAGGCGCUUGAGAGAACUCGGGUGAAGGAACUAGGCAAAAUGGUGCCGUAACUUCGGGAGAAGGCACGCUGAUAUGUAGGUGAAGCGACUUGCUCGUGGAGCUGAAAUCAGUCGAAGAUACCAGCUGGCUGCAACUGUUUAUUAAAAACACAGCACUGUGCAAACACGAAAGUGGACGUAUACGGUGUGACGCCUGCCCGGUGCCGGAAGGUUAAUUGAUGGGGUCAGCGCAAGCGAAGCUCUUGAUCGAAGCCCCGGUAAACGGCGGCCGUAACUAUAACGGUCCUAAGGUAGCGAAAUUCCUUGUCGGGUAAGUUCCGACCUGCACGAAUGGCGUAAUGAUGGCCAGGCUGUCUCCACCCGAGACUCAGUGAAAUUGAACUCGCUGUGAAGAUGCAGUGUACCCGCGGCAAGACGGAAAGACCCCGUGAACCUUUACUAUAGCUUGACACUGAACAUUGAGCCUUGAUGUGUAGGAUAGGUGGGAGGCUUUGAAGUGUGGACGCCAGUCUGCAUGGAGCCGACCUUGAAAUACCACCCUUUAAUGUUUGAUGUUCUAACGUUGACCCGUAAUCCGGGUUGCGGACAGUGUCUGGUGGGUAGUUUGACUGGGGCGGUCUCCUCCUAAAGAGUAACGGAGGAGCACGAAGGUUGGCUAAUCCUGGUCGGACAUCAGGAGGUUAGUGCAAUGGCAUAAGCCAGCUUGACUGCGAGCGUGACGGCGCGAGCAGGUGCGAAAGCAGGUCAUAGUGAUCCGGUGGUUCUGAAUGGAAGGGCCAUCGCUCAACGGAUAAAAGGUACUCCGGGGAUAACAGGCUGAUACCGCCCAAGAGUUCAUAUCGACGGCGGUGUUUGGCACCUCGAUGUCGGCUCAUCACAUCCUGGGGCUGAAGUAGGUCCCAAGGGUAUGGCUGUUCGCCAUUUAAAGUGGUACGCGAGCUGGGUUUAGAACGUCGUGAGACAGUUCGGUCCCUAUCUGCCGUGGGCGCUGGAGAACUGAGGGGGGCUGCUCCUAGUACGAGAGGACCGGAGUGGACGCAUCACUGGUGUUCGGGUUGUCAUGCCAAUGGCACUGCCCGGUAGCUAAAUGCGGAAGAGAUAAGUGCUGAAAGCAUCUAAGCACGAAACUUGCCCCGAGAUGAGUUCUCCCUGACUCCUUGAGAGUCCUGAAGGAACGUUGAAGACGACGACGUUGAUAGGCCGGGUGUGUAAGCGCAGCGAUGCGUUGAGCUAACCGGUACUAAUGAACCGUGAGGCUUAACCUU
This 2902-nucleotide ribosomal RNA is filed under the name human gut metagenome. Its description in RNAcentral is "bacterial LSU rRNA". It matches the Rfam family "Bacterial large subunit ribosomal RNA". The record is from RNAcentral.